Molecule: long non-coding RNA, 550 nt
Filed under: Mytilus galloprovincialis (Mediterranean mussel)
Lineage: Eukaryota; Metazoa; Mollusca; Bivalvia; Mytilida; Mytilidae
Source: RNAcentral
GGUCCUAUGUUAAACUAAGUCCCCCGCUGGCGGCAAUCUUGGAUAAUGGAUCGGCUACAAAGUAACAACACUUGGUCAGCACCACAUUAGGAUCAUUCAUGCCAUGUUUGAUUUCAUUCCAUUCAGUGGUUCUCUAAAAAAAGUCAUUUGUAUGCAUUUCCCAUUGGGUCCUAUGUUGAACUAAGUCCCACGCUGGCGGCCAUCUUGGAUGAUGGAUCGGCUACAAAGUUACAACACUUGGUCAGCACCACAUAAGGAACAUUCAUGCCAUGUUUGGUUUCAUUCCAUUCAGUGGUUCACUAGAAGAAGUCAUUUGUAUGCAUUUCCAAUAGGGUCCUAUGUUAAACUAAGUCCCCCGCUGGCGGCCAUCUUGCAUAAUGGAUCAGCUACAAAGUAACAACAAUUGGUCAGCACUCCAUAAGGAACAUUCAUGCAAUGUUUGGUUUCAUUCCAUUUAGUGGUUCUCUAGAAGAAGUCAUUUGUAUGCAUUUCCCAUAGGGUCCUAUGUUAAACUAAGUCCCCCGCUGGCGGCCAUCUUGGAUGAUGGAUC